Molecule: ribosomal RNA, 492 nt
Filed under: uncultured bacterium
Lineage: Bacteria
Description: partial 16S ribosomal RNA
Rfam family: Bacterial small subunit ribosomal RNA
Source: RNAcentral
AGUGAACGCUGGCGGUAGGCCUAACACAUGCAAGUCGAACGGCAGCACAGUAAGAGCUUGCUCUUACGGGUGGCGAGUGGCGGACGGGUGAGGAAUACAUCGGAAUCUACUUUUUCGUGGGGGAUAACGUAGGGAAACUUACGCUAAUACCGCAUACGACCUACGGGUUAAAGCAGGGGAUCUUCGGACCUUUCGCGAUUGAAUGAGCCGAGGUCGGAUUAGCUAGUUGGCGGGGUAAAGGCCCACCAAGGCGACGAUCCGUAGCUGGUCUGAGAGGAUGAUCAGCCACACUGGAACUGAGACACGGUCCAGACUCCUACGGGAGGCAGCAGUGGGGAAUAUUGGACAAUGGGCGAAAGCCUGAUCCAGCCAUACCGCGUGGGUGAAGAAGGCCUUCGGGUUGUAAAGCCCUUUUGUUGGGAAAGAAAAGCAGCAGGUUAAUACCCCGCUGUUCUGACGGUACCCAAAGAAUAAGCAACGGCUAACUUCGUG